RNAcentral lists this ribosomal RNA (441 nucleotides) under uncultured bacterium. Its description in RNAcentral is "partial 16S ribosomal RNA". It matches the Rfam family "Bacterial small subunit ribosomal RNA", at positions 338 to 795 of the family's 1533-position model. The record is from RNAcentral.
CCUCCGUUCUUCAGCAGUUUUUGCUAUUUCACAAUUUUUUUAACCCUUAUUCAGCGACGCCGCGUGGGUGAAGGAGUGCUUCGGCAUGUAAAGCCCUAUCGGCAGGGAAGAAGCAAGACGGUACCUGACUAAGAAGCCCCGGCUAACUACGUGCCAGCAGCCGCGGUAAUACGUAGGGGGCGAGCGUUAUCCGGAUACACUGGGUGUAAAGGGAGCGUAGACGGCCAUGCAAGCCAGGGGUGAAAGCCCGGGGCCCAACCCCGGGACUGCCCUUGGAACUGCAUGGCUGGAGUGCGGGAGGGGCAGGCGGAAUUCCUGGUGUAGCGGUGAAAUGCGUAGAUAUCAGGAGGAACACCGGCGGCGAAGGCGGCCUGCUGGACCGCGACUGACGUUGAGGCUCGAAAGCGUGGGGAGCGAACAGGAUUAGAUACCCGUGUAGUC